GGGGAGCUUGCUCCCUGGUGGCGAGCGGCGGACGGGUGAGUAAUGCAUAGGAAUCUGCCCGGUAGUGGGGGAUAACGUGGGGAAACCCACGCUAAUACCGCAUACGUCCUACGGGAGAAAGCGGAGGAUCUUCGGACUUCGCGCUAUCGGAUGAGCCUAUGUCGGAUUAGCUAGUUGGUAAGGUAACGGCUUACCAAGGCGACGAUCCGUAGCUGGUCUGAGAGGAUGAUCAGCCACACUGGGACUGAGACACGGCCCAGACUCCUACGGGAGGCAGCAGUGGGGAAUAUUGGACAAUGGGCGAAAGCCUGAUCCAGCCAUGCCGCGUGUGUGAAGAAGGCUUUCGGGUUGUAAAGCACUUUCAGCGAGGAAGAAAGCCUCUGGGUUAAUACCCUAGAGGAACGACAUCACUCGCAGAAGAAGCACCGGCUAACUCCGUGCCAGCAGCCGCGGUAAUACGGAGGGUGCGAGCGUUAAUCGGAAUUACUGGGCGUAAAGCGCGCGUAGGUGGCUUGGCACGCCGGUUGUGAAAGCCCCGGGCUCAACCUGGGAACGGCAUCCGGAACGGUCAGGCUAGAGUGCAGGAGAGGAAGGUAGAAUUCCCGGUGUAGCGGUGAAAUGCGUAGAGAUCGGGAGGAAUACCAGUGGCGAAGGCGGCCUUCUGGCCUGACACUGACACUGAGGUGCGAAAGCGUGGGUAGCAAACAGGAUUAGAUACCCUGGUAGUCCACGCCGUAAACGAUGUCGACUAGCCGUUGGGACCUUUAAGGACUUAGUGGCGCAGUUAACGCGAUAAGUCGACCGCCUGGGGAGUACGGCCGCAAGGUUAAAACUCAAAUGAAUUGACGGGGGCCCGCACAAGCGGUGGAGCAUGUGGUUUAAUUCGAUGCAACGCGAAGAACCUUACCUACCCUUGACAUCCAGAGAAGUUGGCAGAGAUGCCUUCGUGCCUUCGGGAGCUCUGAGACAGGUGCUGCAUGGCUGUCGUCAGCUCGUGUUGUGAAAUGUUGGGUUAAGUCCCGUAACGAGCGCAACCCUUGUCCUUAUUUGCCAGCACGUAAUGGUGGGAACUCUAAGGAGACUGCCGGUGACAAACCGGAGGAAGGUGGGGACGACGUCAAGUCAUCAUGGCC
Molecule: ribosomal RNA, 1133 nt
Filed under: Halomonas sp. RP1
Lineage: Bacteria; Pseudomonadati; Pseudomonadota; Gammaproteobacteria; Oceanospirillales; Halomonadaceae
Description: bacterial SSU rRNA
Rfam family: Bacterial small subunit ribosomal RNA
Source: RNAcentral